GCCAGUGUGGCUCAGUGGUUAGAGCGUCGGCCUGCGGACCUAACGGUCCCGGGUUCAAUUCCGGUCAAGGGCA
Molecule: transfer RNA, 73 nt
Filed under: Myotis davidii
Lineage: Eukaryota; Metazoa; Chordata; Mammalia; Chiroptera; Vespertilionidae
Rfam family: tRNA
About the family: Transfer RNA (tRNA) molecules are approximately 80 nucleotides in length. Their secondary structure includes four short double-helical elements and three loops (D, anti-codon, and T loops). Further hydrogen bonds mediate the characteristic L-shaped molecular structure. tRNAs have two regions of fundamental functional importance: the anti-codon, which is responsible for specific mRNA codon recognition, and the 3' end, to which the tRNAs corresponding amino acid is attached (by aminoacyl-tRNA synthetases). tRNAs cope with the degeneracy of the genetic code in two manners: having more than one tRNA (with a specific anti-codon) for a particular amino acid; and 'wobble' base-pairing, i.e. permitting non-standard base-pairing at the 3rd anti-codon position.
Source: Rfam by way of RNAcentral